CCUACGGGCUGCAGCAGUGGGGAAUAUUGGACAAUGGGGGGAACCCUGAUCCAGCGACGCCGCGUGAGUGAAGAAGUUUUUCGGUAUGUAAAGCCCUAUUAUCAGGGAAGAAAAUGACGGUACCUGACUAAUAAGCCCCGGCUAACUCCGUGCCAGCAGCCGCGGUCAUACGUAGGGGGCAAGCGUUAUCCGGAUUCACUGGGUGUAAAGGGAGCGUAGACGGGGUAGCAAGUCGGAUGUGAAAGACUAGGGCCUAACCACGGGACUGCAUUGGAAACUGUUGGACUGGAGUACGGGAGAGGUAGGCGGAAUUCCUGGUGUAGCGGUGAAAUGCGUAGAGAUUAGGAGGAACACCAGUGGCGAAGGCGACUUGCUGGACUGUAACUGACGUUGAGGCGCGAAAGCGUGGGGAGCAAACAGGAUUAGAUACCCUAGUAGUC
RNAcentral lists this ribosomal RNA (440 nucleotides) under uncultured bacterium. RNAcentral's name for it is "partial 16S ribosomal RNA". It matches the Rfam family "Bacterial small subunit ribosomal RNA", at positions 338 to 795 of the family's 1533-position model. The record is from RNAcentral.